GAGCAGGGGCGCGUCGGCGCCGCCCCUGAGCACCCUGCUCGGGAAGGGCAGGAGGCGGCGCCGGCGGCGCCGCCCGCGCCCGCCCGCCGACGCGGAGUACACGUCGAAGCCCCCGGCGUAGCACGGCGCCGGGUGCCUGUUCAGGGAGACGAUGGAGCCGCCCCUCUGGGCCUAGCACCGGCAGCUGGCGUUGCGAAGGGAGCGGCUGCAGGUGCGCGCCGAGAGGGCGAGCGAGGAGCGCCCCGUCGGGAAGUGCGAGUUCAUGGUCGAGGGGUUGCUCCUGGAGCUGAGCGAGUAGAGGCAGAGGUGGCUGCUCCUGGAGCUGUUGGAGCAGCUGCUCAUGCUGGCGCAGCGGCGGCGGAGGAGGAGGCCGCCGCGGCGGAGGGCGUGGAGGGCCUAGGCGGAGAAGGAGAAGGGGCGGUUCGGGCUCAGGAGGAGGAGGGAGCCGAGGGAGGAGCUGCUGAGGAGGUUCAGGCUCUUGACCAAGCAGCUGCGCGAGUUGUCGCGGUAGAGCCCGAGGAAGCUGCCGUAGGGCGCGCCCUAGAGGUGGCUGAGCCGGAGGCAGUUGACGGAGGAGCCGGAGCUCCUGCUGUUGCGGAGCGUCGUGAGGGCGUCGCCCCACGGGUUGAGGCCGGGGCGGCUCCUGGUCGCCCGGUCGGUCGUCUUCGAGCGGCGCCGCCGGCGCCGGCGCUCCGUGGUCGUGCUGCACGUCAGGCACGGGCUGAGCGGCUACGACCUGUUCUUGAGGAGGAAGCCGAGGUGGAGGAGCCGCGGCAGGGACAGCUUAGACGGCGGCUAAGCCCACGCCGGGCUCCUGGCCGUCGGACACCGCGGCGGCCAGAGGCACCUCCUAGUGAAACGGGUCUACCCCUAGAGCCUCGUCGUCCCGGACGGAGGCGUUCACUACCCUAUAUACGUUGGCGGCGGGGUCCGCGGCUAGGGUCGGUACCGCUACGUUCGCCGGUCGUCGUAGAGCGGUAGCCUCGGCGGGUCGUCCCGGAAGAGUCUACUACUGUCCAGGCUAGUGCCCCCAGCCUACGUCGUCGGUGGCUUCGUCCUCCAAGGUGGAUGGCGGCUGGGGUUGUUGUCCCGGUACAAGAUGUUACUAUACAGCGGAGCCUUACUCUACUUCGCUCUGUACGGCCACCCUUGACUACGGCGGUCGAUAGCACGAGGUCGCGGUCGAGGUCUACGACGGCGCAGCCGUCGGCGGCGUGUCGGUGGCGGACCAAUACAGAUACGUGUCUACGUCGGUGUUGUCGUCAAUGUCGUCGGUGGUGUCGUCGUUAAUGUCGUUGUCAAUGUUGUCGUUCGAGUCGUCGUUAAUGUUGUCGUUCGAGUCGUCGUUAACGGUGUUGUUUAUGUCGUCGUCGGUGUCGUCGUUAACGGCGGCGUUAAUGUCGUCGUUCGUGUCGUCGUUAAUGUCGUCGUUCGUGUCGUCGUCGGAGGCGUCGGCGUCGUUCGAGUAGUCGGUCGAGGUGUCGUUAUACAGUGGCGCCCUUUAGUCGUAAAGUAAGUGUUGGGUCGGUGCCCGUGUAAGUAAGGUUAGGUUAGAAUAAUGGUUGUCUGACAGGGAGUCGUUCGCGGCGUCGUUGUCGUCAGUGGACGUAAACUGGGUUUAUGACCGUACAUGAUGUAGGGAUACGUCGCAGGCUUACGUGGAGUCGUCAUAUCGUAAGGACGACCACGACAUCGGGGAUACCGACGAGGCUGUGAACAACUGUCGCAUGGCUUCGGUUGGCACGGCUAAGGAGUCGUUAUAUACUUCGGACUUAACGUCGUCGGACCGUACAUGGCUUGGCGCCGCGGAAGACGGGGACGAGGUCCCCGAUUGUGCCGGGGAUUAAUACGACCUUACCCCAUGGUGGUACAUUACGUUAGGGUGGUGGUAGGACGUAGCGUCGGAGGCGGCUGGUACCGCCCUUUGAUACCCAUGGGGCUCAUACGGCGACUAGGGGCGCGUGUCCAGAAGAUGAGGGUCCGUCCUCGUGGUGGUCGUAGUAACGGUGGAGUCAUAGUCGUCGGGUACCCUCGUGGACUACGGCCGCCAGUCCGACUGUACUUAGUCUUGGCACCACCAAGUAUCGCUUCCUACCCACUUAAGACAAUACGACGCAUAGGAUCUCCAUUAGGACGACAAUGAAUAGUAAUAACAAUAAUGUUCAACGCGCUCAGUUACCGUUUGUAACCUACCACACUAACUCGUCAACACGUAACCCCUAGUUUAGUUCGUACGUAGACCUGAACACUAAUCCCCACCCCCAGGUUUUAUUCUAGUUUUGCCAAGAUACAAGCAGGGACACAGCGGCUCGGACUCCCCCUCAACAAAGACUAAACAGGACCUCUCAGGUAAACGGCUACAACGUCAUUCGACCCCACCUUCCUUCCGGACACUUACUUCACAACCUAAUGUCAAGGUUAACGAGCAGAAUUAAAAACUUAUUUAUAUAUCAACAGAUUUUUCGAGUCAUUUUUGAAGGCUUAGCUCUUGAGUAGUAAACACAUCGGGGAGACAUAUAAAUUUUGAGUACCUACCAUGGCUCCAACUUUACAGUCUAUACACAAAUAAUAAAUCGGACGGAACAUCUUUGAAGUAGGGGCUCAAUUUAUAGUAGUAUGUGGGAACAGGGUAUAAAAACAUGGUAAUAACUAUAACUACAGCUAUGUAAAAGAAGACCAAAAGUAUGCGG
This 2690-nucleotide ribosomal RNA is filed under the name Triticum aestivum (bread wheat). RNAcentral's name for it is "partial small subunit ribosomal RNA". Lineage: Eukaryota; Viridiplantae; Streptophyta; Magnoliopsida; Poales; Poaceae. The record is from RNAcentral.